This is a small nucleolar RNA of Ornithorhynchus anatinus (platypus), 138 nucleotides long. Lineage: Eukaryota; Metazoa; Chordata; Mammalia; Monotremata; Ornithorhynchidae. The record is from RefSeq and is a predicted model, not a curated record.
UACCUCUCAGGGUCGCACCUGGAGAGUUUCCAGUACUCUAGCAGUCUCAACUACGGGAGGGAGAGUCAAGCAGAGGCCUAUCCAUUCCAUUCCUAGCUUGGCCAGUAACUAGCGAGUGGAAGGCACUCUGCUACAAGU